UGGGGAAUAUUGCACAAUGGGCGCAAGCCUGAUGCAGCAACGCCGCGUGAACGAUGAAGGUCUUCGGAUCGUAAAGUUCUGUUGCCGGGGAAGAUAAUGACGGUACCCUGUGAGGAAGCCCCGGCUAACUACGUGCCAGCAGCCGCGGUAAUACGUAGGGGGCUAGCGUUAUCCGGAUUUACUGGGCGUAAAGGGUGCGUAGGUGGUCUUUCAAGUCGGUGGUUAAAGGCUACGGCUCAACCGUAGUUAGCCUCCGAAACUGGAAGACUUGAGUGCAGGAGAGGAAAGUGGAAUUCCCAGUGUAGCGGUGAAAUGCGUAGAUAUUAGGAGGAACACCAGUAGCGAAGGCGGCUUUCUGGACUGCAACUGACACUGAGGCACGAAAGCGUGGGUAGCAAACAGG
RNAcentral lists this ribosomal RNA (403 nucleotides) under Verrucomicrobiota bacterium. RNAcentral's name for it is "Verrucomicrobia bacterium partial 16S ribosomal RNA". It matches the Rfam family "Bacterial small subunit ribosomal RNA", at positions 355 to 776 of the family's 1533-position model. Lineage: Bacteria; Pseudomonadati; Verrucomicrobiota. The record is from RNAcentral.